Molecule: ribosomal RNA, 250 nt
Filed under: uncultured bacterium
Lineage: Bacteria
Description: partial 16S ribosomal RNA
Rfam family: Bacterial small subunit ribosomal RNA
Source: RNAcentral
UACGUAGGGUGCAAGCGUUGUUCGGAAUUACUGGGUGUAAAGCGCGCGUAGGCGGGUCUGAAAGUCGAUUGUGAAAUCCCUAGGCUUAACCUGGGAAUUGCAGUCGAAACUUCAGAUCUUGAAUGUCUGAGAGGAUGGCGGAAUUCCCGGUGUAGUAGUGAAAUACGUAGAUAUCGGGAAGAACACCUGAGGCGAAGGCGGCUAUCUGGCGGUACAUUGACGCUAAGGCGCGAAAGCGUGGGGAGCAAAC